AGCAGUCGCCACGGUAAUACGGAGGGUGCAAGCGUUAAUCGGAAUUACUGGGCGUAAAGCGUGCGUAGGCGGUGAGUUAAGUCUGCUGUGAAAUCCCCGGGCUCAACCUGGGAAUGGCAGUGGAUACUGCCGUGCUAGAGGAUUGGAGAGGUAGCUGGAAUUCUUGGUGUAGCAGUGAAAUGCGUGGAGAUCAAGAGGAACACUCGUGGCGAAAGCGAGCUACUGGACAAUAUCUGACGCUGAGGCUCGAAGGCCAGGGUAGCGAAAGGGAUUAGAUACCCCCGUAGUCCCUGUCUCUUAUAU
This 303-nucleotide ribosomal RNA is filed under the name uncultured bacterium. RNAcentral describes it as "partial 16S ribosomal RNA". It matches the Rfam family "Bacterial small subunit ribosomal RNA", at positions 507 to 808 of the family's 1533-position model. The record is from RNAcentral.